This 90-nucleotide transfer RNA is filed under the name Alicyclobacillaceae bacterium I2511. RNAcentral's name for it is "Firmicutes bacterium I2511 tRNA-Ser". It matches the Rfam family "tRNA". Rfam says of the family: Transfer RNA (tRNA) molecules are approximately 80 nucleotides in length. Lineage: Bacteria; Bacillati; Bacillota; Bacilli; Caryophanales; Alicyclobacillaceae. The record is from RNAcentral.
GGAGAGAUGUCUGAGGGGUCGAAAGAGCUCGUCUCGAAAGCGAGUAGCCCUGUUCGGGGCUCGUGGGUUCGAAUCCCACUCUCUCCGCCA